AUCCUGGCUCAGGAUGAACGCUGGCGGCGUGCUUAACACAUGCAAGUCGAACGUGAGAGGUAGCAAUAUCUUGAAAGUGGCGAACGGGUGAGUAACACGUAGGUGACCUGCCUCGGAGUGGGGGAUAACAGUUAGAAAUGACUGCUAAUACCGCAUGAAUCCACGGGAUUGGGAAAUUCGGUGGAGAAAACUCUGGUGCUUCGAGAGGGGCCUGCGGUCGAUUAGCUAGUUGGUGGGGUAACGGCCCACCAAGGCGACGAUCGAUAGCUGGUCUGAGAGGACGAUCAGCCACACUGGGACUGAGACACGGCCCAGACUCCUACGGGAGGCAGCAGUGGGGAAUUUUGGACAAUGGGCGCAAGCCUGAUCCAGCAAUGCCGCGUGCAGGAAGAAGGGCCUUC
This 401-nucleotide ribosomal RNA is filed under the name uncultured bacterium. RNAcentral describes it as "bacterial SSU rRNA". It matches the Rfam family "Bacterial small subunit ribosomal RNA", at positions 16 to 420 of the family's 1533-position model. The record is from RNAcentral.